AGAGCGAACGCUGGCGGCAGGCCUAAUACAUGCAAGUCGAACGGACCCUUCGGGGUUAGUGGCGGACGGGUGAGUAACACGUGGGAACGUGCCCUUUGGUUCGGAACAACUCAGGGAAACUUGAGCUAAUACCGAAUGUGCCCCCAUCCUUAAACAAGAUGGGUGGGAAAGAUUUAUCGCCAUUGGAGCGGCCCGCGUCUGAUUAGCUAGUUGGUGAGGUAAAGGCUCACCAAGGCGACGAUCAGUAGCUGGUCUGAGAGGAUGAUCAGCCACACUGGGACUGAGACACGGCCCAGACUCCUACGGGAGCAGCAGUAGGGAAUCUUGCGCAAUGGGCAAAAGCCUGACGCAGCCAUGCCGCGUGAAUGAUGAAGGUCUUAGGAUUGUAAAAUUCUUUCAGCGGGGACGAUAAUGACGGUACCGCAGAAGAAGCCCCGGCUAACUCGUGCCAGCAGCCGC
RNAcentral lists this ribosomal RNA (459 nucleotides) under uncultured bacterium. RNAcentral's name for it is "SSU rRNA". It matches the Rfam family "Bacterial small subunit ribosomal RNA", at positions 26 to 518 of the family's 1533-position model. The record is from RNAcentral.